RNAcentral lists this ribosomal RNA (373 nucleotides) under uncultured bacterium. RNAcentral's name for it is "bacterial SSU rRNA". It matches the Rfam family "Bacterial small subunit ribosomal RNA", at positions 523 to 898 of the family's 1533-position model. The record is from RNAcentral.
AUACGGAGGAUCCGAGCGUUAUCCGGAUUUAUUGGGUUUAAAGGGUGCGCAGGCGGAAUAUUAAGUCGGCGGUGAAAUUUUGCAGCUUAACUGUAAAAGUGCCUUCGAAACUGGUUUUCUUGAGUGUAGAUGAAGUAGGCGGAAUUUGUGGUGUAGCGGUGAAAUGCAUAGAUAUCACGAGGAACUCCUAUUGCGCAGGCAGCUUACUAAACUACUACUGACGCUCAUGCACGAAGGCGUGGGGAUCAAACAGGAUUAGAUACCCUGGUAGUCCACGCAGUAAACGAUGAUUACUCGCUGUUUGCGAUACAAUGUAAGCGGCCAAGCGAAAGCGUUAAGUAAUCCACCUGGGGAGUACGUUCGCAAGAAUGAA